GAUCCCAAAGAGGAUUUGCACUGGCAAGGCAAAAUGACUUGUUUCAACCUUUUAGAGAUAACCUGUGGAGUAUUUGAGAAAAAUGGCUUAAGAAAUUUAGUCAGGUUUUAGCUGUAGUGCCAUUUCCUCAGACUGGCUUUCUCUGUCCACUUCAACAGCACAGCCCCCCAUCUCCAUUCUGAAUCUCAGUAAUUGCCUUUUCCCUUCCUAAUACUAUCAUGAUUUGUAAUUUCUUCCAUAUUUACAGACUAGCUUUUUAUCUUCACUAGCUUUUUAUCUUCACAGUCUGCACAGUAACUGACAUAUACUAG
Molecule: long non-coding RNA, 311 nt
Filed under: Canis lupus familiaris (dog)
Lineage: Eukaryota; Metazoa; Chordata; Mammalia; Carnivora; Canidae
Description: lncRNA (ENSCAFG00000034626.3)
Source: RNAcentral